RNAcentral lists this non-coding RNA (226 nucleotides) under Clostridium sp. RNAcentral's name for it is "T-box sequence". It matches the Rfam family "T-box leader". Rfam says of the family: Uncharged tRNA acts as the effector for transcription antitermination of genes in the T-box leader family. T-boxes are found upstream of many aminoacyl-tRNA synthetase genes and some amino acid biosynthetic genes usually in Gram-positive bacteria. The anticodon of a specific tRNA base pairs to a specifier sequence within the T-box motif, and the NCCA acceptor tail of the tRNA base pairs to a conserved bulge in the T-box antiterminator hairpin. Lineage: Bacteria; Bacillati; Bacillota; Clostridia; Eubacteriales; Clostridiaceae. The record is from RNAcentral.
GAAAAAGCGAUGAUAAAGAGGAGUAAAAUACAAAUAGAAAUAAGAGAUGAAAACCCGUGGCUGAAAAGUUUUCUAACACUAAUGUAUUUGAAGGUAGCUUUGGAGCUGAUAUACUGAAGUAUAUAUUAUGUGUAAGUAUAUUCCGUAAACAAUCGGUUAAUUGUAAUUAAGAGCAUGCAUAAGCAUGAAUUAAGGUGGUACCGCGAACACAGUCUUCGUCCUUAAA